Xenia sp. Carnegie-2017 is the source of this 551-nucleotide long non-coding RNA. RefSeq lists it as uncharacterized. Lineage: Eukaryota; Metazoa; Cnidaria; Anthozoa; Malacalcyonacea; Xeniidae. The transcript is spliced from 2 exons. The record is from RefSeq and is a predicted model, not a curated record.
ACGAGUUCGUAAUUUAUUCCAAGAAUGAGUAUAAUGUGAAUAUAAGUCGUUCUCAUUGGGCUCGCGCUUCCAAGAAACUGAAAACAGAUCAACGGGUUGCACCGAAAUCAAGUGACGUACCAGUUGUUGUAGUUGUUGUAUCAACCAUUGGUUUUCUCAUGGUGGUAGCAGUUAUCAUUAUUGUGGUGAUUGUUUUUUAUCCUCGCGACGCCCACUAGCAUCGCUGCUGACUCCGGCAUCCUGACCAGUUUGACUAUCGUUCACCACAAUUUCAAUGCACAACACCAUACUACCCUCGAAGGAUUCGAACCUCACACCUCAAUCUGAGAAACCUGACCACUUGCACUCGACCACUGAUUGCGUUGAAGAAUCUUCGUAAAUUUAGUCUAUUUAUAUAUUCUGUUAAGUAAACAUUCAAUGAAACAAACUAAUAAACCAUAAACUUUUUUCAAGAAUCUAAGAGGUAAAUCACAAAGCAUUUAGUUGUAAAGAAAUAAUAUUUUAUUGUCAGUUUUGUCAUUCGCACAACAACAUUACAUUAAUAGUUUCUA